CCUACGGGAGGCAGCAGUGGGGAAUAUUGGGCACUGGAGGCAACUCUGAACCAGCAACGCCGCGUGAAUGAUGAAGGUCUUCUGAUUGGAAAGUUCUGUGAUGUGGGAUGAACAGAAUGACGGUACCCCAAUCGCAAGCCACGGCUAACUACAUGCCAGCAGCCGCGUUAAUAAGUAGGUAGCAAGCUUUAUCCGGAAUGACUGGGCGUAAAGGGUGUGGAGGGGGUUUCGGAAGUUGGCGGUGUAAUUACAGGGCUAAACCUAGGCGCUAGCGUCAAAACUAUUAGACUAGAGUGCAGGAGGGGUAAGUGGAAUUCCUAGUGUAGCGGUGGAAUGCGUAGAUAUUAGGAGGAACACCAGGGGCGAAGGCGACUUACUGGACUGCAACUGACACUGAGGCACGAAAGCGUGGGGAGCAAACAGGAUUAGAUACCCUAGUAGUC
RNAcentral lists this ribosomal RNA (443 nucleotides) under uncultured bacterium. Its description in RNAcentral is "partial 16S ribosomal RNA". It matches the Rfam family "Bacterial small subunit ribosomal RNA", at positions 338 to 795 of the family's 1533-position model. The record is from RNAcentral.